UCUGUACGAAUACUACAACUCCAACUCCAACUGGAAAUACCACCACUCCAACGGUGACUACUACCAACGGUACAGGUCUGAUUGCCGGUUGUGUAUGUGGAGCUAUCGUCCUCCUUGUCCUCCUUGCUAUUUUGAUCUGGUGGCUGUGGAAGAAACGCAAAUGUUGUUUCGCGCCAGUAGGUGAAGGAAGUGAAGCUGCUUUGCGUGAUAAUGAAGAGAAACAGGUGGAACUUCUGAAAAUUGCGAAAAAAGGAACGGUCAUACUCGCCCCCAUAGAGGCACCACCUGCCUGGCCGGAGCAAGAUGGCGUCCUGUCAACUUCACCUAAUCCAAAUACUGACAAAACCCCUGGGGAGCUGUCCAAGGAAGAGGAGGCAUUGCCCUCACCGACCACAGGGGGCAAACCGGACGGCGCUACAUCCAAGAAAAAGAAGAAGAAGAAGAAAGGGAGCAGAUCGAACAGGGUCAGUCCUGAACCCGACCAGAUUCCUGCACUGUCGACAGGAGGAAAUGAUGGAUAGCAUUUGCAAAUGCUCUCGUGCUUUCGUGACACAUUCUGGCUGUGUAUUUUGUUUCCUCCAGAACAGUCCACCACCAGCAGUACUUUGUAAGGCUGCUAGCUAUAGCACGGACUCUUAUUUUUGACUCUCACGAAAGUUCUUGUGACUUUGGGCAAGUGAGGAUAAGCAGUGUCAGGUACACUGUAUCGCCUCAGACUCAAUCAAAGCCAUAUUACAUGUAGACCGAAAGCUUCAGUCUCUGAUAUCGACGGUUGUUCCGCUGAGAUUGCAUCUGGCUCCUCUGACCGCCUCUGUGUAUGGGGAAUGUCAACAAAUGUCAGUUUUAUUAAAGAAAUGACCCAUAUGAGACGUUAUUUCUGUCUAUAUUACAUGUAGUUUGCAGCACAGAAAACUUCUUUUGUGCACUUGAACUGCAGCAGAUGUAGAGAAAAGGACAAGAUGUGCAACGGUUGCAUCGGAUAUCUCCCCCUUCCCUUUCCCCAUUGAUGGUCUAUGAGGUGGAGAUAGAGAUUCAGGUGUACUGCAGAGAAGAGUGUCCAGGGG
RNAcentral lists this long non-coding RNA (1064 nucleotides) under Strongylocentrotus purpuratus (purple sea urchin). Its description in RNAcentral is "uncharacterized LOC115928673, transcript variant X2". Lineage: Eukaryota; Metazoa; Echinodermata; Echinoidea; Camarodonta; Strongylocentrotidae. The record is from RNAcentral.